AUGUGUUUCUCUCCUGCCUGCCAAGAGCUGAAAAUUACCAAGAGAUUGAUGUGCAGAGAUCACAGCACAAAGGCAAGUGACAGCCAUAGCAGGUGACUGACAGUUGGCUGACUGGUGAGGAACAGUGACAGUUGGGAUGGCCAGAGGAAAAGCGCAGUGGACGGCAGGGCAGCCCAGGUGGCAAGGAGAAGCCAAGCAAUGAGGAGCAGUGACCAGAAGGGUGGCCAGCCAAAGCAAGUGAUCAGAUGGCAGAACAAGCAGAUACCUUCUUCUCCAGAUGAUACCCUUCCUCCAUGUGGAUCCCAGCACUCAAAGAGGAGACUUCUGAAUCAUUCCUCCCUUAUCUACAAGAGGUAACUCAAGGACUUUAGGCCAGUGGCUUUAAAGUUGUUCUACUGCAGCUAUCAUUUAUACCAGGACUGAGUGACUGAAGAUCAGCCCCCACUCUCCACUG
This is a non-coding RNA of Pelodiscus sinensis (Chinese soft-shelled turtle), 454 nucleotides long. NCBI's taxonomy places the organism in Eukaryota, Metazoa, Chordata, Testudines, Trionychidae. The record is from RefSeq and is a predicted model, not a curated record.